This 1443-nucleotide ribosomal RNA is filed under the name uncultured bacterium DA111. Its description in RNAcentral is "16S ribosomal RNA". It matches the Rfam family "Bacterial small subunit ribosomal RNA". Lineage: Bacteria; Pseudomonadati; Pseudomonadota; Alphaproteobacteria; Rhodospirillales; Rhodospirillaceae. The record is from RNAcentral.
AGUUUGAUCCUGGCUCAGAACGAACGCUGGCGGCAUGCCUAACACAUGCAAGUCGAACGCCUGUAGCAAUACAGGAGUGGCGCACGGGUGAGUAACGCGUGGGAACCUGCCCUGGAGUGGGGGAUAACCGAGAGAAAUUUCGGCUAAUACCGCAUACGUCCUGAGGGAGAAAGAUUUAUCGCUCUAGGAGGGGCCCGCGUCGGAUUAGCUAGUUGGUGGGGUAACAGCCUACCAAGGCAACGAUCCGUAGCUGGUCUGAGAGGAUGAUCAGCCACACUGGGACUGAGACACGGCCCAGACUCCUACGGGAGGCAGCAGUGGGGAAUAUUGGACAAUGGGGGAAACCCUGAUCCAGCAAUGCCSCGUGAGUGAUGAAGGCCUUAGGGUUGUAAAGCUCUUUCGGCGGGGACGAUGAUGACGGUACCCGCAGAAGAAGCCCCGGCUAACUUCGUGCCAGCAGCCGCGGUAAUACGAAGGGGGCGAGCGUUGUUCGGAAUUACUGGGCGUAAAGGGCGCGCAGGCGGCUGUGCAAAGUCAGAUGUGAAAGCCCCGGGCUUAACCUGGGAACUGCAUUUGAUACUCUGGAGCUUGAGUACGGGAGAGGAUAGUGGAAUUCCCAGUGUAGAGGUGAAAUUCGUAGAUAUUGGGAAGAACACCGGUGGCGAAGGCGGCUAUCUGGACCGUAACUGACGCUGAGGCGCGAAAGCUGGGGAGCAAACAGGAUUAGAUACCCUGGUAGUCCACGCCGUAAACGAUGUGCGCUCAGACGUUGGAAGGCUUAGCCUUUCGGUGUCGCAGCUAACGCGAUAAGCGCACCGCCUGGGGAGUACGGCCGCAAGGUUAAAACUCGAAACGGAAUUGACGGGGGCCGCACAAGCGUGGAGCAUGUGGUUUAAUUCGACGCAACGCGAAGAACCUUACCAGCUCUUGACAUGCCCGGUAUGGGGUCGAGAAAUCGGCUCCUUCAGUUCGGCUGGCCGGUGCACAGGUGCUGCAUGGCUGUCGUCAGCUCGUGUCGUGAGAUGUUGGGUUAAGUCCCGCAACGAGCGCAACCCUCACCUUUAGUUGCCAUCAGGUUAAGCUGGGCACUCUAAAGGAACUGCCGGUGACAAGCCGGAGGAAGGCGGGGAUGACGUCAAGUCCUCAUGGCCUUUAUGGGCUGGGCUACACACGUGCUACAAUGGCGGUGACAGUGGGAUGCGAAGGCGCAAGCUUGGCCAAUCUCAAAAAGCCGUCUCAGUUCGGAUUGUCCUCUGCAACUCGAGGGCAUGAAGCUGGAAUCGCUAGUAAUCGCGGAUCAGCACGCCGCGGUGAAUACGUUCCCGGGCCUUGUACACACCGCCCGUCACACCAUGGGAGUUGGUUUUACCCGAAGCGCUGCGCCAACCGCAAGGAGGCAGGCGACCACGGUAAGGUCAGCGACUGGGGUGAAGUCGUAACAAG